CACGUCAGCGUGCUUUGCUGAUGUGGCAACAAAUCUCCCCCUCGAGGACGCGAUUUGUUGCCACGUCAGCAAAGCGCGCUGACGUGG
Gossypium hirsutum (cotton) is the source of this 87-nucleotide non-coding RNA. The record is from Rfam. Lineage: Eukaryota; Viridiplantae; Streptophyta; Magnoliopsida; Malvales; Malvaceae.